RNAcentral lists this long non-coding RNA (15193 nucleotides) under Setaria italica (foxtail millet). Its description in RNAcentral is "long non-coding RNA (SITA_LNC001791)". Lineage: Eukaryota; Viridiplantae; Streptophyta; Magnoliopsida; Poales; Poaceae. The record is from RNAcentral.
AAUGGUCCGCCGCCGGUGAGGAAAAGGCUACCCGUGGUGGAUCUACCCGAUGUGUGCCGCUUCACCGACGGAGGGAGGUGGCCGUCGGGGAUGGAGCAGGAGGGACCGAUAGCGGCGGCGAGCGGGCUAGAGGAGUUACCGACGGCGGCGGAGAGCGGGCGAGCGCGAGGGAGCGGGCGAGACGAGGGAGCUACGACGGCGGAGAGCGAGCGAGAGCGAGGGAGUGUGCGAGAGGAGGGAUCUACGACGGCGGAGAGCGGGCAAGAGCGAGGGAGCGUGCGAGAGGAGGGACCGAUGGCAGUGGAGAGCGGGCAAGCGCGAGGGAGCGGGCGAGAGGAGGGAGCGACGGUGGCGGAUUGCGGGCGAGAGCGAGCGAGCGGGCGAGAGGGAGGGCGCAGUGGAUAAUGAUGGGAGGCGAGAGGGAGAGGAAAUGACGUGUGAAGCGUCGGUGGGCAACCAAACGGGCUGUUACAUACCAAGAAUUAGGGUUUCUUUAGAAAGCUCCGGGUGGGCUAACACGCGGCUCGCUCCUGUAUCGGCCCAGAACCGUGGCAACACGGAGCAAGCAGGCCACACCAAGGCCCAAACCAGGCGCCAGGUCCAAAACAAAGGAAACUCUCGUUUGGAAAAAAAAAAGAAAAGAAUACUAAAGGAAACUCGUAUCUUUCUGUCCCGAUUAAAUCUUGUGCGCUGAUUUCCAAUCGGACGAUCAAGAUCGACCCAUGUAGCCGUGCGGCGGUGUGCCGUGUGCCACCACGGACCAUGCGGACCCGCGGGUCACAUCUACUUGCUCCUACCAGUCCCAAACCCCAGGCAUCGUGCUACACACCCUAACCAGUAAGGCAGUAACCACCUCCCUCGCCGCCGCAGGUGAACGGCGACGGCGAUACCGAUGGGCGCGUCGGCCUCCGUCCUCUCGCUCCCGACGGCCGCCGCGCUCCCCGCAACCGCCACCGCCGUCGCCGGGGCCGCAGGCUGCUUCGCGCUCGGCUACCUCCUCGCCCUCACCCGCUUCCCGCGCCACGCCGCCGCCCCCGGCCCCGGGGGCCUCUCCGAUGACGACUCCGAGGACGACUCGGAAGAAGAUGAUGACGAUAACUCCGGCCGCAGCCGAGCCGCGAAGCGGGCGGGCGGGCAGAAGAGGACCGGGCUCCGGCUGCUCUUCUGGGCGCGGAACGUGGUGACCAAGUCCGACUCCGCCAGGGAGGUGGAGAGGGCCCAGGCCCAGGCCGCCGCCAGCCCCCUGGAGAUCGAGAACCUCGCCGAGAUUAUAGAAGAUUUCAAGAUGGUACUGGAGACUUAGUUCAUGAUUCUACUAUUUGAUCUGUUGGAUUGUACUUUAGUACAGAAUGAGGAUAGAAUAUCAAAUUAUAUAUGUUGGUUUUUUCUUUGAUGUAGGUGCUGGUCGUCAGGAACGAUUUGAAGAUGGGCAAGGGGAAGAUCGCUGCACAAUGCAGGUGAGACCUUCCUUCACUGUAGCGUCAUUUCAAGACGUGUAUACUCUGGGAGGAAGUGAACCAAGCUCGCUAGUCUCUAGUCACACAAAAUGUUUGCUUAGGUUGUGCACUAAGUUGUUUUCACAGUUGUUUGGUGGAAGAUACAAGUCCUCUGAACCAAAGCCUGCCUGUCUCGACUCUAGCGAUAUUUUAGAACCGAUAACGGUUUGAGAGAACAAGGUGGAGUUAGGGUUAUUAUGUGCUUUCAUGCACUUUUGAUGAAUGAAACGUUGACUAAUGAACAACUGUGGAACCUGUACAUAUAUUUUUUGCCAGUGCACAAAUGAAAUUAGUCGAGUAAAGAAAUUGGUUGUUUUGCAUGACACAGGGUGCCAGUCUCUUUGUUCUUUCUAUGCUGGCAGUUGUUCACUUGAAUUAGACAAUAGCAUUAUGUACCUGUUGUUUGGUUUAUUUAUAGUGUCUAAAAUACACAAAAGUGCAUAAUGUUGUCUAGAAUUAUUUGUUCUAUAAAAAGUCAGAUAGAUGGAGCAAUGGGGAGUAUUUUAUCCUAUUCCUGGAGACCUGGACUCAUAUAGUCAGAACCCAUUCGGUAGUUUGUUUGGUUGAAACAUAACAGUUUUGCAAUAGUAGCUACCCCAUCUGGCUCUCAUCCAAUGCAAAUUCAUCAACUGCAUUUGGAUGGCAAAGCAGGGUUACCUUUUAUCUUUAUUGCUUCAACACGACAGUACUUAUGCUACAUCCAAACUUUGCUGCCUUCCACAAAGUGGAAAUGAGCCAAUGUAAUGCUUUAGCCAGUCAUCUUUGGCCAGGCAGCUAUUCAACUUCAUUUGCCAGAGAGUGCAUUGCUAAUAUCUGUGAUGCAUUUCUUUAUCUUUUUGAAUGAAUUUUCACCAUUUUCACAUGAGACACUCUUUAUUUUUGGCCAUGAAAGAUGUGUGCAUUUAGCUUUGAUGAACUAAAUUACCAGGCUACAAAAUUUAUGCUGGUCUUUGCCACCCAGCACUUCAGUUAUAACCAUCAGCAGGGAAAGAGUUACCGUAGUCAUCAACAUUUUGUUAUUUGUUUUUGAAAUGUGGGUAUUGUCUCAUAUGUUGGCUUUUUCUGUAUUUGUAGCCAUGCAACUCUUGGUCUGUUCAAAAAACUCCAACAGAGAGCGCCAAAAUCACUAAGAAGGUAUUACUCCACAACAAUUUCUUAUGUUGUUUGAAGCUUCUUCCAGAUGAACUUCAUAUUCCACUGAGAUAGCAAAACAUAUGCCAAAUUUGCUUUGCUCUCUACUUUUCAUUUUUUGCAGGUGGGAACGAUGUGGGCAAGUUAAGGUGGUUGUGAAAAUAGAAAGCGAGGAAGAUAUGCUUGUUUUACAAGUAAAUAUUCCUCCUCCUUGCAUAUUGACUAUAUUGAAAGUGCUUUUCUGAGAUCCAAACAUGAUAAGAUGAGUAUGAGUGGAAAAUAAAACCUCAUCUUGAAAUAAUUUCACCAUUUCGUGAAUUGAUGGAUUUAUUUUCUAAAAAUGGAACAUUUGGUACUUGCAUGGUGUAAUCCUUUAUUAUUCAUUUAGAGAAAUCUUUUGCUUCAGCUUUUACCUAAUUUAACGAAAAAAAUAAAGGAUUGCUGUUAAUUCCCUGAAACAUGACAAGGAUUUGGCUGAUUCCUCUCUGGGGAACUCCUCAUGUUUUUGAUCAAAAAUAAAAGAAGUUGGCGGAUUUUGCUUUUGUUGUGUUUAACAUUGUCAAUUAUGUUCCUUACUCCAGAGUGUCUAAAUUACCUUUUUGAUGCAGGGGAGAGCAAAGUCUCUGAAUCUUCCAACGCACAUAACCAUAGACGCUGGAAGAACACAGAUUGCUCCAAGUGAGUUGUUCGAGUGUUAACUUAUAACAUUCACUUCUUUCUCUUUUUUUUCUAAUUAUUUGAAUUUUUCUUUCUCUAAACUUAAAUUUUCUGUAGAUUCAAGAACAGUGAUGGCUAUUCUUGGUAAGUUGCAUUCAAUUCCCGCUAGCAUGUUCUGUAUAUUCUUAUUGGCGUUCUUUUGCUGAUCUUACCUUUUCAACUGGGCAGGGCCUGCUGACAUGGUUGAUGAUGUCACUGGUGGUCUGAAGCUAUUGUAAACUUCACCUUGUCAGUAUUCUCAAGCACCCAACAUGGGUGUUUACAGAGAUAUGCUGGAAUUUUACAAUCCACAUUGGACUCACACUUCUGAUCUGCUGCUGAAGAAUGAAUCUCAGUCUCAUUGGUUGACUCGAUCUUGCUGUCUGUGGAUUUAUUCAAAAGGAGGCUGUUUCUUUUUUACUUGUAUCAACUGUUGUCUUUGGAGCUCAGAUUUCAGUUCACCCAGUUUUGGUGUCGAGAACUUGUGGACCAUUGUUUCUUCUGUAACAUAGAUAAGAAAAGGUCCCGCUGUUGUCCCUUUCUUUGUUGUCCCUAUAAGCACAGAUUAUGUAUUUCGCACCACUCAUGAGUCAUGACUUGCAACUAUGAGUACCACAGAUUCUAGUAAGCAUAUGUUAGGUUAAUGUUCCUCUUGGCCAUUGUUAAAAAUGUCACUGUUACUUUGCAGUUACUAGAUUUGUGUUGUAGCCAGCAGCGCUUGCACUGAAUCAACCAAUGGAAGGAACGCAAGAACAGUGUCACUGCUCCAGUUCAGGAAACGCUUUAUAGUGAGUGCAAGUGCUUCAUAAAUAAGCUCUCUUUGGUUUCCAAGGAAAGAAACUCCGACAGAUAGAAAAUAAAUGCAAUCUAGCAGUGACGGUGAAUGCUGAAAUUACAAUUUUCAGACAAGUCGAUCUUAUUCUGAUUGACUACGGCAAACAACUCCGCCUUCCCAUUUUCCUCGCUUAAUGCCUCCCGGUUCAGCUGCUCUGCGGCCUGCUGCUCUCACCAAAGAUCCUGUUGAGUAUUGCAGCGAGCCUGACACCACCUUGCGCGAUUCUCUUCUGAACAACCGGCAGCGCAGAGAAGAAAUAGUGAUCUGCAUUUCCAAUUUCAGGUGAAUCGCAUCACAAUACGUUUCUCUAGUAAGCUCACAAAAUUAUUUGAUCUGGUCUUCAGAGGCUCAGAGCCUACCUCCUAGGAUGGAGCCUUGCUCAGCACCCGCAUACGCCACGUCGCACGCCAGCUGCGCGCUCUCCAUAGCGUACCUGCAUUUGCUUUCAGCCGUUAGCCGUCUCUGAAUAUCAUCAGGUUCACUUUCUAAAUAAACAAAGCUUGAUUGCAGAUCAUGAUCUCACUUGUCAGCACAAGUCUUUGCAGAUCAUGAUCUCAAAAUAGACAAAGCCUCCCACUCCCUCUCCUCAUCGGCCCACGCCUCCUAGCACUGACACGGCGAAAGCUGAAGUGAAGCAAGCUACGCAAUGCCGUAGAGCACUUGUACUUACAGUGAUGUUCUGCAUGAUGACCUGUGUCAUGAUGCUCAGGUCGUCGUUGUAGAAGUCCUUCAUGGCUUUCUGGAUGAUGUCCAAAUCCCAUACCUGAUGAAAACAUGCAAAAAUUAAGCAUGCAGUUGAACAAAAUUGAGAUCUGAUGAUUCUGCUGCUCGAGUUAACGUACGCGGUGAAGGUUGGUCGUGGUUGUGUUGUACCAGUGGACGAUGAUGGUGUUGCCGCCGAAGUCGGCGGUGUUGCCGCAGUGGAGGGGCUGGUGGAUGUCGCCGACGAAGUGCGCCAGGAACAUCAGGCUUAUGGUCGGAUCAACCACUGGUGGCAGUGUCAGAGGAUUAUAUGCGGAGUAAAGAUAUACAAUGCACGAUAUACAGAGUAGAUUACAAACGAUUGUAUUGAUGAUGCUUACAUGGAGCUGACGAGUUCAUCAGGGCUGUGGUGUAGUUGUUGAUGCCUCCAACCACACACAUGUCCUUCUCCCCGUUCAUGUUGUGGCAGUCCCCUGGUCAAAAAUAGUAGUGCUAGAACCAUCAGAGCACAACACACCAGCAGCAAGAAGGUUGUUUGGGAUGCCGGCAAUGGAGAGCCUAGGUAGCUUACUGUCGUAGAAGAACUGGCAGUCGCCCGGCGUGUCGGCGAAGUGCAGCGAGCCCGACCACGGGUACCGGCGGCGCUCGUCGUCGGCCCAGGAGCACGUCUCCGCGAGCUCGCCGCCUCGCCGGCCCACCCCGGCAGGAGGCUCGUCACCGCCGCGGAGUCCUCGCUCGUCAGGAAGCUCUGCACAGGCAGCAGACUGAAGAACUCAAGCUCGUUCGUUCAUUUACCUGGGCGAUCUAGCACACCAUGCAGUGUCCCUCCUUGCGCCAUGCGUGGGCGGCAGGAGCUCCCGCCGCCACCGCGACGAGGAGGACGUGAAGAAGCCGGAGGUGCGAGCCCAUAUUCCUAGCAGCUAGCACCGUGCUCUCUCUCUCUCUCUCUGACACUCUCUGUGUUGCCAUGAUGCUUUCGGUUUCCUUCUCACUUGACCACCUUGGUACUGCCUUUAUACACGCUACAGGAAAAACCAAUGCGGCCUGCCUUUGUACGCUUUUACUGCCUUUCUACCCUUUUACUGUUCCAAUCCAACGACGACAAGAGGAUUGUUCCCUCCUAUAGAAUCCAAGAUGCCACGGAUGCACACACGUGACUCUCGUUUCCAUGGUAGUUCGCAUCAAUUGAUCAGCGGAUAAAAGUUGAGAAGAAUAAAGCAUGACGGAGGUGCGGUGCGGCACUCGCUGCUUUGUUUUGUGCAGUGGCACUCUGUAGCGCGCGCCUUUAUUAUGUCCACAACCAAGAAGCCACCCCGAUGUGAUUUUUCUGGUUUCGAGGUUUGAGCACGAGUGAAGUGAUCAGAUCCGAUCCGAUUGCUUAAUACGAGUAUAUUUUUUUCGAGCUGAACUACGAUUUCUUAUGGCGGAAUGAUUUGAGUUCUUCGCUCCGCGCGAUGUUCACAUUAUUUUUGAAUUUAUUCAAAGGAUUAAACUGACGCUAUUGUUUCAGUGGUAGUUGACAUGACCGUUAACAACGAGACACCAGUAGUAAUGUUUUAUAAAUGUUGAGAAUUUACCGGCUCAGUCUUUCGGAUGUGCUCCAAUCUCAUAAGAGUAAGGUUGUGCGUAGAGCGAGUGUGCGUGUAUGUGUCGCAUCCUCUUUACCGUGUGAUUAAAAAAAAUAUGAGUAUAUUUUUUGAUAACCGACGAUGGAAAAAAAAAGAGAGAGCGUAAAAUGGUAUUCGGGACUUCGGGAGGCUCCGCCGACAGCAGGCGUCGCUGCAAAAGCUAUUCCCCGAUUUGAGGUGACUAGGUGAGUGAAGCGCAAGGACCGCUUUGCUUGGGGACUGCUUUGGUUCCUUGUGACUUUGAGAGUGUGUUUGGUUGCAUGCACCACAUGAUGCAUGCACAGAUGAUCCUGGAUGGGAUGAUUCAACCAAUUUACUUGUACCAUAUGGUUCACUCUAAUUAGUAGAAUAAUGUAUUAAAUGGGAUGGUCUCAUCCUGGAUGAGUUGGUCCAAUUCACCCAACCAAAUAAAAGGAUCAUUAUUAUUUUGAAUUAUUCCAUACAUGAAUCAAAUCAUACAACCAACCAAACACACCCUGAGUUUGUUCUUUCGUCGUUCUUUCGUCGAUCCUCUCUGGUUUUUCCUUUUCUUUAGCUAUUUUAUUUUCUCCUUUAAUUUGUCCGGGAAAUAAAGCAUCUAUGGACUGUGUGAUGACUGAUGGAUGAUGAUGGUGGUGCACUGGUGCAUCAUUCUAUCCACCAUGAUUUAAAUCCGGCUGGAGAUUACCUACUUUACUAGCAUAAUACCUUAUCAUUUGCCGCGUUUUUUUUGUUAUUUUUUUGCCGCGCUCUGGUGAUAGCAGUGUGGGAAUUUUGAGCACAAGCUAGAUAAGAGAUAUGGUUUGGAGGUCCACAUAAGCUCAUUUUUCCUAUUCUUCUUCCCCGACGCGCCUCCACCCUCACCCCUGCAUCCACCGUCCCGGCCGGCGGCCGCUGCGCUGUUUGCCCACCACCACCCUUCCUCCCCACCCUUCCUAAUCCGGCAUUUCCUUGUUGCCCUCGUUGUUGACCACCGCCCAUCAAGAAUCCUGCCCCUGCUUGCCGGCAGCGCUCUCGCUCCGCCUUGCCCUCCGUUGCCAAUCGUACCACCACCGUCGCCGCCAGGUCUACCGCUACCCCUCAGCCUUCUUCUCUAAAGCUGACGGACAUGGAAACCUCUUCCCCAAAAAUUUUUGAACCCUAACCUCCGCCAGUCGCCACCCACCGCCGAUGACCUCGACCACCACCGGCGCCUGGUGGCGACCUCACCGUCGAGCCGCUACCAUCCACUUCUCAUUCCUUCGUCCAGCUCCCACCCCUCUGGCUAGGCUUCUCAAGUCUCAACGAGUGGCGGCGUGAGGAACCGGCCUCCAACAACGGCACGAAUCUCAAACACCAGGAAUAGCUUCCGGGCUUCCUGGAUUUAUUGGGUCCUGCCAGCGGGCCUCCACGAAAGGUCAGCAGCCCAGCACCACCGCGUAGCCCACCACGCCACUCAUGUUGGGUCCCAUAGGCCCAGAGGGCACCACAACUUCACUGCAUGGGCCGUGGCCUGCCAGUUGCACUCUGUAGCAGCAGCGCGCCUAGACCCAAUCCCAUCUCGAUAAGGACAACUUCAAGAGCUUAUCUAAAAAUUCUUCCCCAAAAUUAUGUUAGGGGGGCUCUUCCAAAAUUUUCUUUCCCCAAAAAUAUGUCAUCCCACAACAGAUCUCCAAUAAUAACUUCCCCGAUAUUUCAAAAUAUGCCACGUCAGCACAACGUGGGGGGCGACGAGCGUGUUGGACUCGCAGUACAGGUAGAACACCUGACUGCAGACGGCACCGGAGCACGCCGGCCCGAUGUCCGCCGCAUGCGCUUCUGCGCCUCCGCCAAUGGCGGCUGGCUCAUUCUCAUGCUCGACUCAUGCCACGGGUACGCGCUCUACAAUGUCAACUUCGACCAGCGCAUCCCGCUCCCGGCAAGCUUCACGACACCGUGGGACAAGGACAUCCCACUGGUCAUGCACGCCGACACGUUCUCUGCCCUACCAUUCGGUCGCAACCAGUACAUGGUCGCCGCCAUCGUGCUCAUCGGCAACCACUCCACCACCGCAUUCUGGAGUGAGGCUAGGAGAUCAUGCAACAGCUAGCCACCGCGGCGAAGGUCGCCAAGGAGUAGGACAUCAUGCAGCAGAACCCUGCGGUGGAGGUUGGCAGAGAGCAUGAAUUGAUCGUGCAGCAGGCCAAGCAGCAGGAGAUGGUGAUGCUGCUGCAGGCCGCCGAGGCGCCCAUGGUGCAGUACUCUGAGAUAGAGCUCGGCAUCUCGCUGGGGCACUAGCCAUCGGUGCAACAAAUGUUGCAGGAGCAUGGUGGGAGUCACUGGGGAGCCAAACAUGAUGACGGUGGUGCAGCAUGUCACGGCCUAUGCAGACGCUGAGCGCGGGAGGAGGCAAAGAACUACAUAUGGUCUGAGACUUGCCGCGCCAUUCCUCGUCGAGCAGAAGUCGGCGCCACAGGGGCUGACGAUAGGGGCGCUUGGGCUCCAACUUGAUUCAUCUCUGCCGCCGCCGUUGGUGUCGUUGGGCCAGCCGCAUGCCCGAGUGUCGCAGCAGCGAAGCACGGAUGGUGGAUGGCUGGAUGACCUAGGAGAACCUCCCUCCUAGUUCGGCAAUCCCCAUGUCUAGCAGCGUCGCCGCCAACCCGGAGGAGAUCAGGGCACGCGUCAUUGUCCUCGGUGCCCCCCAUGCCAACGCCACCAAUGAGUGGGCGUGCCCGGAGCACGGCGUGUCCGUGCAUGGUGCCAACAGGGAAAAGCUUGUGGGAAAAAAACUUGCGGGAAAGGAGUGCGAUGGGCGAUUGGGGGAAGAGCAGGCGCAUGCAAAUAUGUGGGGUGGCGGCGGACGGAUACGGGACGAUGGAAAUUUGCAGGAAGGUUGAGGGAGUUGUUGGAGGUAAUUUUUUUUCCCUAAAUAAGGUGUUGGGGUAAUUUUAAAGGAGCUUUUGGAAUUGCUCUAACACGCUGAAUAUGGAGUUCAGACUGCCAAUCGGUAAUCGGCCCUUCAAGUUCAUUUUAUUGCAUAACUGUGGGGAGCAGUAGCAUUGCAGUAUAGCAACUUAGCAAGUGGUGUACUACCAUGUAUUUUUUUUGAAAAAAAGUAAUUGUCUCCUGCCUCUGCAACCACACACAGUCAUAUUUUUGUACAAUUUUUAGCUCACAAGUAGAUCACAUAUAAUAGGAAAAAAGUAGCAUGACAGGAACAAAUCAAAAGCAAAGUCCAUUAUUGCUUCUCCAUCCAUUCUUGGCAAAGAUAUCCAAGGUGAUGACUUCCAACGCUUUACUUGCUAAACAGAUGGUCUCCAUUGUUUCCUCUCAUUGAUGUAACAAAGACCAAAAUCGCAGCCAAUAUGCUCCCCUGAAAACAGCCUGCAUAAAAGAGGUGAAUGAUUUUUCUCAAAAACCACAUCGUUUCGCGUACACCAAAUUGCCCACAUGAGAGCUGCAACCCCAACAAAAAUCAAACUUCUAUGAUUCUUUCUUAUGCAUGUUAACCAAUUUCCAAGCAUAUGCGCUAUUGAUUUUGGCAGGAUUAACCCAGUAGCUAUAUUAACAACUCUCCAAAUUAUCUUGGCAUGUUGACAAUAAAAAAAGAUGCUUAAUUGUUUCAUUACAAUCACAGAAGCAACACUUUUGACUUCCAUACCAGUUUGUCUUAGCUAAGUUAUCAUUUGUUAAAAUAACACCUCGUUGGAGGUACCACAUAAAAAUUUUAAUUUUGAGAGGGAUCUUUAGCUUCCAUAUAAAUUUAUUGGUGGAAGAAACAUCUUGGUUUAUGAGAUAUUGAUACAUAGACCUUACAGUAAAAUCACCUUGGCUAUGUAAGUCCCAGGUAAAAUUGUCCCUCCCUUCAGAAAGCUGGUAAGAAGCUAUUUUAGCUACAAGGUUAUGCCAAGCAGUCAGUUUAUCCCUAAUUAGAACUCUUCUAAAAGAGAUAUUCCAUGGUAUUUGGUUCAUAACAUUUGCCAUUGUAGUGUGAGGAUAAUAGACUAUAUUAUAUAAGUUAGUAAAUUGCUCUCUGAGUGAUUUAGAGCUAAUCCAAGUGUCCUUCCAAAAUCUGGUUUGUGACCCAUCUUUUAUUUUGAAAAUCCCGCAGCCCAGAAAAUCUUCCCUAACUUUUAACAAACCUUUCCAAAAAUGCGAGUCUCCAGGUUUGGUUGUAGCCUGAGACAGGUACUUUGAACUCAGUUAUUUCUAAGUAAGGUUUGCCGUGUGCUAUUUUCAUUCAGCAAUUUAAAUAACGAUUUGCUAAGUAGAUAUUUAUUUAUAAUCAAGAGGUUUGUUAUUCCCAAACCCCCUUGAUCUUUAGGACGACACACUAUGUCCCAUUUGGCUAGGCGGUAUUUUUGUUUAUUAUUGUUACCUUGCCAAAAGAAUUUGGAUCGAUAAAAAUCCUCCUUAUGACAUAAUUCAAUAAAAUCAGUCGUACCCUAUGAGAUAAAUGUUUGGCCUUCGAGGUACUUGGUAGUCGUUUGAAUCUUUCCUCGAUAACAUUCCAAUUUGCAUUAUGGAGUUUGUUGUGAUGCAUCGGGAUUCCUAAGUACCUGAAAGGGUACGACCCUAGGCCACAACCAAACAAUUGAGUAUAUUUCUGCUCGUAGUGUUUUGCAGCUCCAUAACAAAAUAUCUCACUUUUGUGGAAGUUGAUUUUUAAACCUGACAGUUGUUCAAAGAUGCAAAGCAAGAGCUUCAUAUUCUUAGCUUGCUCUAAAUCAUUAUCCAUAAAUAUGAUUAUGUUAUCUGCAUAUUGUAGGAUUGACAAUCCAUCAUCCACCAAGUGAGGUAUCACUCCAUCAAUUUAGCCAUCAUCCUUAGCCCUCUUAAUUAAAAUAGAGAGCAUAUCAGCCACAAUAUUGAAUAGGAUAGGUGACAUGGGGUCUGCUUGCCAAAGACUUUUUUUGUUUGGAAGUAGUGCUUAAUGUCAUCAUUGAUUUUGAUGCCCACACUUCCUUCGGAAAUAAAAUUUUUAAUCCAUGUACACCAUCGCUGGCAAAAUCCUUUCAUUCUAAGGGUUUGUUGUAGAAAAGAUCACUUUACUUUAUCAUAAGCCUUUUCAAAGUCAAUUUUGAGAAUCACACCAUUGAGUUUUUUUUGGUAACUCAUGGAUAGUUUCGUGCAAUAUCACUACUCCUUCCAUUAUAUUUCGACCUGGCAUGAAAGCUGUUUGUGAGGGAUAAACCACUUUGCUAGCCACUCCCAUGAGCCUAUUGGUAGCCAUCUUGGUGAAAAUUUUAAAACUCACAUUGAGUAAGUAAAUGGUUCUAUAUUGUUGUAUCUUUGUUGCCUCUUUUAUUUUUGGAAGUAAAGUAAUUACUCCAAAAUUGAGACUAUGGAGAGGGGGGCAUCCUUCAUAAAAAUCAAUGAAUAAUGCCAUAAGGUCCGAUUUAAUAAUUUCUCAGAAAACUUGAUAAAACUCUUCUAGAAACCAUCAAGGCCAGGAGAUUUAUUAUGCUGCAUUUGGAACACCGCCUCCUUUACUUCCCUCUCCGUGAAAGGUGCUGUGAGGAAAUUAUUUUCAUCCUCUGUCACCUGAGGUAUGUCAUUAUUUUGAUUUUCCACCAUGUUGAAAUUAUUGUCAUCUGGUGGUCCAAACAACCCCUUGUAAGUUUGUGAUAUAUGCUUUCAAUUCAGCAUCACCCACUAUUACGUAAUCUUCUUGUUCUAAUUUGAAGAUGCGUUGUUUUCUAUGUUUACCAUUAGUGACCAAAUGCAAAUAUUGGGUGUUAUCAUCACCUUCCAAGAGGUCAGCUCUCUCAUACCAUUUAAUUUCCUCCUCCCUUAAUAAGUGAACUAAACGUUCAUUGAGGUAGUGUUUCAUAUUUAACUCCUGAUUAGAGAGCACUCUAUUCUCAACUUUCUUAUCCAGAUCAUCAAUCAUGAAGAUCAACUUCUUCUCCUUUUUAUUGUGGCCAGCUGUAUUUUUUGUUUAGCCCCUCGAAAAUUGUCAAAGAGCUCUUAUUUUAUUCUGCAGUGGUUCCUCUGGUUUUAGAUCCCCACUUAUCAGCAGUCAACUCAUAGAAACCAUCUCGAAUAAGCCAGCCACGUUCAAAUUUGAACAAUGGUUGCUGCCUAUUGUGGGAAGAAGUGCCUGUGUUUAGCAAUAAAGGGGUAUGAUCUGAAUUACUUCUAUCUUUAGGAUGUACUGUUGUAAGAGGGAAUUUUUGCUCCCUCUCUGUACUAACUAAGACCCUAUCAAGUUUCUCAAAUGUUGGAUCAUCUCCGCUGCUCACCUAUGUAUAUUGGCGACCUGACAUUUUUAUCUCUCUAAGAUCAAGGUUUUGAAUGACCAUAUUAAAUAAAUCUAGCCAUUUUGCAUCAAAAUUGUCCUUAUUUUUAUCCUCAGGAUGAUGCAUGAUAUUAAAAUCUCCACCAAUUAUAUAUGGUAGCGAUUCUUUACUACAACUGUGCGCUAUUUCUAUCAAAAAGUUUUCCUUAUGCUGCUAUUGAGCAGGACCAUAAACUAUAAAUAACGCAUAUUUGUAGUUAUCAUGUUUAUUGCGAAGGGUGAACUUAACAUAAAAGUCCCCCUCAUCAAUGGAUCCAAUAUCAAAUAUUGUAAGGUCAACACCAAGAAGAAUACCCCCGGAACGACCAUGUGGUGCUAUACAGUGCCAAAUAAAUUCUUUGCUACCAUAUAGUUUUUUUAAGAUCCCAUCUGGGAAAUGAUCCCGACACGUUUCCAUAAGGGUAAUAAAAUCAAUUUGCUCCUCUUUAACCAAAUCUUCCAAAUACACAUGUUUAGUCUGCAAGACCUCUGCUAUUGCAGAAGACCCCUUUUAUUUGAAACUCAGCUUCGAUGGAGUUAUUGGUUUUUAGGCGAUAAGGCCACUUUAUUAUUAUUUUUCCUAGAAUUGGAUUUUUUUCCAGCAAGGAGUAGCAACUAGAUCACUACAAAUAUGAUCUAGGACCUCCUUCUGCACACUCUCAUCAAAAUCCCCACAAGCGUGGUUGAGUUGUGCAUCUAUGAGGUCUUCUUCUUCCUCGUCCAGGUUAAUUUUAGGAGAGGAAUAUCUAUUGCUACUAACAUUGUAUUUAGCCGACACUUUAAGUCUAUCAAUUUCUAUGUUUUUAAGAGAAGAAAUAACACUAUUAUCUCUACCCAUAGAAACACCUAGGUUGGCAAUUCUAGAAAUAAUAUUUUAAUCUGAAAUAGAUGGAAAAGAGGCAAUUACCUGGUUCCAUCGCAUUUUUCUUGGUCACCAAGUUCAUUGCCUUCUCUACCAUGUUUGUGUCACCCAUUGUAGAAGCUCUUUUAGUGGAUCUUUUCUCAUUAGUAAUCGCCUCUACUCCAGUGACACUAUCGAGAGCCUGGAGAGCCUUUGACAUUGCCACAUUGGUGAGGUUAGCAUGUAUCCCAUUCUUUUUGGAAAGCGCUUGCAGCAUGCGUCGAGGUAGACCAUGAAAUUGGUUGUGAGCUGGACUGAUCUCAUGCUGAAAAGCCUCCACAGCAACCUCGGUUUCCUCUUGACUAGCAAUCUUACUGCCCCCAGUGUAUUCUGUUUCUCAGAAGGCACAACGUCGAAUGUAAGGCAGGCCUCCUCAACAGAUCUUCUCUGUAUGCUAUCGUCUUCCAUGGUUAGUGCACAUUCAAGCUCAGGUGUGUCGCUGGUCCGUUCGUCGGUCACGAGCAUGGGAACUGCAACUGAGGCAGCAUUACCAACCGUGGUUAGUUCGCUGCCUAACAGAGUGGAACCCGGAACAGAUUCGUCCGGAUCCACAACAUCCAGCUCUGUGUUGUUGGCCCCAGCAAGAACUUCAGUAUUGUUCUCAUCUGCUAUGCAAUUUUCAGUGUGUUGUUCCGAUUCCAACAAUGCUCCUGAGAUAGUACCAUCAACUUUUAUGUUGGGGACCCGUGGAAUGUCAACUUAAGCAGCCACCUUGGUGCUCAGUUCUUCCAGAAUAGUAUCUACAGCAAAAUCAAUUGGUUGCUCUAACACUUGCAUCUCAGUAGCAGAGGGAGGUCUAUUGUGUUGCAUUUGUUUAGGUACUUCAUCCAUCUUAGGAUCAGCAGUAGGUUCUGAAGCACUAGCACCCCCAUCAACAUUUGAUUUCUCAUGUGUAUGUGCACCUUCCAUCUUAUGGUCUUUCUCCUUGGGUGGUUCGUCAGACUCAGGAUCACUGUUAGUUACCACCCUGUCAACUUUGAAGAAAAUUUCAUAGAGGCAAUCAUCAACUACGAUGUCAGCAUCAUCAGGAAUGCUGUUUACAUCCAGUACUGCCCCAACAAUCUGAGCACACCAGUCUUUUUCAUGGAUCGCAUGUCCACCCUUUGUGUUGCACCUAGGAUUGAACCCACUGCCCUCAAAGGUAGGAAAAGACCUAAUCUCAUAUGGAACACCAUAUACAUGAACCCAUACCUUUUGCAGCCUUGUCUUUGGUUUGAUCUCAUGGUUCCAUUCUUGAAAAGACAUCACCCCUUCAUUAUUGUCGGUGCGAUGCCUCUUUAUUGAAACUAUCCGCUGCAGCUCUACUUGGCAAGGGAAUGGAACGAUAUAUGUAUUUGUUCCAUGUUCCUGCACCACCCAAUCCCACUUCACCGGGAUCAGGCGAGCCAAUUCCUUUUUGACAAGAUCAGCUGGUACUGUGCCUUCUAUAAUCACUAAUAGAGAACUCACCAUCCGUGCGUCCCCUUUUAUUUUGGUUUAAAGUUAGCUCGAGACAAAAGGUUCACCAACCGGGACUAAAGCUCAGUCACUGGCAGGGGGCUCACCAACCGGGACCUUUUAUCCCGAUUGCAAAGGCUAGUGGAAAAA